Molecule: ribosomal RNA, 1187 nt
Filed under: Escherichia coli
Lineage: Bacteria; Pseudomonadati; Pseudomonadota; Gammaproteobacteria; Enterobacterales; Enterobacteriaceae
Description: bacterial SSU rRNA
Rfam family: Bacterial small subunit ribosomal RNA
Source: RNAcentral
AAAUUGAAGAGUUUGAUCAUGGCUCAGAUUGAACGCUGGCGGCAGGCCUAACACAUGCAAGUCGAACGGUAACAGGAAACAGCUUGCUGUUUCGCUGACGAGUGGCGGACGGGUGAGUAAUGUCUGGGAAACUGCCUGAUGGAGGGGGAUAACUACUGGAAACGGUAGCUAAUACCGCAUAAUGUCGCAAGACCAAAGAGGGGGACCUUCGGGCCUCUUGCCAUCGGAUGUGCCCAGAUGGGAUUAGCUAGUAGGUGGGGUAACGGCUCACCUAGGCGACGAUCCCUAGCUGGUCUGAGAGGAUGACCAGCCACACUGGAACUGAGACACGGUCCAGACUCCUACGGGAGGCAGCAGUGGGGAAUAUUGCACAAUGGGCGCAAGCCUGAUGCAGCCAUGCCGCGUGUAUGAAGAAGGCCUUCGGGUUGUAAAGUACUUUCAGCGGGGAGGAAGGGAGUAAAGUUAAUACCUUUACUCAUUGACGUUACCCGCAGAAGAAGCACCGGCUAACUCCGUGCCAGCAGCCGCGGUAAUACGGAGGGUGCAAGCGUUAAUCGGAAUUACUGGGCGUAAAGCGCACGCAGGCGGUUUGUUAAGUCAGAUGUGAAAUCCCCGGGCUCAACCUGGGAACUGCAUCUGAUACUGGCAAGCUUGAGUCUCGUAGAGGGGGGUAGAAUUCCAGGUGUAGCGGUGAAAUGCGUAGAGAUCUGGAGGAAUACCGGUGGCGAAGGCGGCCCCCUGGACGAAGACUGACGCUCAGGUGCGAAAGCGUGGGGAGCAAACAGGAUUAGAUACCCUGGUAGUCCACGCCGUAAACGAUGUCGACUUGGAGGUUGUGCCCUUGAGGCGUGGCUUCCGGAGCUAACGCGUUAAGUCGACCGCCUGGGGAGUACGGCCGCAAGGUUAAAACUCAAAUGAAUUGACGGGGGCCCGCACAAGCGGUGGAGCAUGUGGUUUAAUUCGAUGCAACGCGAAGAACCUUACCUGGUCUUGACAUCCACAGAACCUUGUAGAGAUACGAGGGUGCCUUCGGGAACUGUGAGACAGGUGCUGCAUGGCUGUCGUCAGCUCGUGUUGUGAAAUGUUGGGUUAAGUCCCGCAACGAGCGCAACCCUUAUCCUUUGUUGCCAGCGGUCCGGCCGGGAACUCAAAGGAGACUGCCAGUGAUAAACUGGAGGAAGGUGGGG